AAAGCUCAAAUUUAAAAUCUGGCAGGCUCAGUCUGUCCGAGUUGUAAUCUAGAGAAGUGUUAUCCGCGCUGGACCGUGUACAAGUCUCCUGGAACGGGGCGUCAUAGAGGGUGAGAAUCCCGUCUUUGACACGGACUACCAGGGCUUUGUGAUGCGCUCUCAAAGAGUCGAGUUGUUUGGGAAUGCAGCUCAAAAUGGGUGGUAAAUUCCAUCUAAAGCUAAAUAUUGGCGAGAGACCGAUAGCGAA
Molecule: ribosomal RNA, 247 nt
Filed under: Resupinatus sp. 1 CRJH-2017
Lineage: Eukaryota; Fungi; Basidiomycota; Agaricomycetes; Agaricales; Resupinataceae
Description: partial 28S ribosomal RNA
Rfam family: Eukaryotic large subunit ribosomal RNA
Source: RNAcentral